GGGACCAUGGCGCAGUUGGCUAGCGCGCAGGUCUCAUACUAUCAGUAUGAUCGAGCCGACAACACGGCACGAGCAAUCCUGAGGUCGGGAGUUCGAGCCUCCCUGGUCCCA
Non-coding RNA from Coniochaeta sp. PMI_546, 111 nucleotides. Lineage: Eukaryota; Fungi; Ascomycota; Sordariomycetes; Coniochaetales; Coniochaetaceae. The record is from the annotation of a GenBank genome assembly.